RNAcentral lists this unclassified non-coding RNA (369 nucleotides) under uncultured fungus. RNAcentral's name for it is "partial contains ITS1, 5.8S rRNA and ITS2". Lineage: Eukaryota; Fungi. The record is from RNAcentral.
AACGCACCUUGCGCUCUAUGGCAAUCCGUAGAGCAUGCCUGUUUGAGUGCCAUGAAAUCUCCCACCCCAAGCGGUUUUUAAAUGAAACGGCUUGGCGGCUGGGGUCUGGAUGGGUGCCUCCGCCUGCGCCACCUAGCACAGGCCCGCCCGCAAUGCAUGAGCGCCUUGCGACACCUUGCAUCCGCCUCUCUGUUUGGGAGGAGGCGGCCAAGCGGUGUUUUUCUCCUGGCAUGGCAUGAUACGUCAUUUGCUAUGUCGCCUAAAGGAGGAAUGUUUGGUUGUGUCUGCGUGUGCUUCGGACUUGCCUCUGUGGCACAUCCCAAUUUCGCUGCUGGUCUCAAAUCAGGUAGGAUCACCCGCUGAACUUAA